Molecule: small nucleolar RNA, 85 nt
Organism: Ictalurus punctatus (channel catfish)
Lineage: Eukaryota; Metazoa; Chordata; Actinopteri; Siluriformes; Ictaluridae
Product: Small nucleolar RNA SNORD35
Source: Ensembl
UGCAAGUGAUGUCUUUUCUCACGAUGGUCUUCUGAGCCUUUGUGGUUUUGAGGAUAACGCCUUAUGGCUAUGCUGAUGCAGUUUU